GGUCGCAGCUACCUGCAGUCGAGCGCCCCGCAAGGGGAGCGGCAGACGGGUGAGUAACGCGUGGGAAUCUCACUUAGCCCUGCGGAAUAGCUCCGGGAAACUGGAAUUAAUACCGCUUACGCCCUACGGGGGAAAGAUCUUAUCGGGGUUUGAUGAGCCCGCGUUGGAUUAGCUAGUUGGUGGGGUAAAGGCCUACCAAGGCGACAAGAUGUCUAGGGGAUCUGAGAGGAUGACCCCCCACACUGGUACUGAGACACGGACCAGACUCCUACGGGAGGCAGCAGUAAGGAAUAUUGGUCAAUGGGCGCAAGCCUGAACCAGCCAUGCCGCGUGCAGGACGACGGCCCUACGGGUUGUAAACUGCUUUAGUCGGGGAAUAAACCUGCAUAUGUAUAUGCAGCUGAAUGUACCCGAAGAAUAAGGAUCGGCUAACUCCGUGCCAGCAGCCGCGGUAAUACGGAGGAUCCAAGCGUUAUCCGGAUUUAUUGGGUUUAAAGGGUGCGUAGGCGGCUUGUUAAGUCAGAGGUGAAAGACGGUAGCUCAACUAUCGCAGUGCCUUUGAUACUGAUGAGCUUGAAUGAAGUUGAGGUAGGCGGAAUGUGACAAGUAGCGGUGAAAUGCAUAGAUAUGUCACAGAACACCGAUUGCGAAGGCAGCUUACUAAGCUUUAAUUGACGCUGAUGCACGAAAGCGUGGGGAUCCAAACAGGAUUAGAUACCCUGGUAGUCCACGCCCUAAACGAUGAACACUCGAUGUUGGCGAUACACAGUCAGCGUCUAAGCGAAAGCGUUAAGUGUUCCACCUGGGGAGUACGCCCGCAAGGGUGAAA
RNAcentral lists this ribosomal RNA (829 nucleotides) under uncultured bacterium. Its description in RNAcentral is "bacterial SSU rRNA". It matches the Rfam family "Bacterial small subunit ribosomal RNA", at positions 45 to 899 of the family's 1533-position model. The record is from RNAcentral.